GAUGAACGCUGGCGGCGUGCCUAAUACAUGCAAGUCGAACGCUGGAAAUCUAGCUUGCUAGCUUGAAGGAGUGGCGAACGGGUGAGUAAUACAUAAGCAACCUACCCACGAAGACUGGGAUAAUCUCUGGAAACGGGGACUAAUACCGGAUAGGUAAUCGGAAGGCAUCUUCUGAUUAUUAAAGGUUAAAAACACUGGUGGAUGGGCUUAUGGCGCAUUAGUUAGUUGGUGAGGUAACGGCCCACCAAGACGAUGAUGCGUAGCCGGCCUGAGAGGGUGAACGGCCACAUUGGGACUGAGACACGGCCCAGACUCCUACGGGAGGCAGCAGUAGGGAACUUUCGGCAAUGGGGGAAACCCUGACCGAGCAACGCCGCGUGAGUGAUGACGGCCUUCGGGUUGUAAAGCUCUGUUGUAAGGGAAGAACGGUAGAUAGAGAAUAUCUAAAUGACGGUACCUUACCAGAAAGCCACGGCUAACUACGUG
Molecule: ribosomal RNA, 486 nt
Filed under: uncultured bacterium
Lineage: Bacteria
Description: partial 16S ribosomal RNA
Rfam family: Bacterial small subunit ribosomal RNA
Source: RNAcentral